Equus quagga is the source of this 2588-nucleotide long non-coding RNA. RefSeq lists it as uncharacterized. Lineage: Eukaryota; Metazoa; Chordata; Mammalia; Perissodactyla; Equidae. The transcript has 3 exons. The record is from RefSeq and is a predicted model, not a curated record.
UUAGCUGUCCGUAGAUGUGUGGUUUUAUUUCUUGGCUUUUAAUUUUGUUCCAUGGCUCUGUGUGUUUGUUUUUGUGGUUCCCUGGUAUUUUUAAAGGUUCUUCACACUAUUUGAGUUGAUGGAGAGAACUGACUCAGAUCAUGAGAAUCUUUGGAAUAACUUUCAUCUUUUCUGAAUUUUUUUUUUAAACAAGUAAGAAUCCCCUUCACCCUCAAGUGUUUCAUGCCUUAGAGAUCAAAGUUGUAGACUCUAUUAUAGUACAUUAGUAAGAGCGGCGUUAGUAAUUGUUAACAGUAUUAAUCAGCGGCAGUAGGAACAAUGUAACGAUAAUGAGUAGGUAACAUUUAAAUGGUGCUUAUUAUGUACCAGUCUCUGUUCUAAAUGAUUUGUGUAAACUAACUCGUUUAAUUCCCACCAUAACCCGAUGAGGUAGGUACUAUUAUGAUUGGCAUUUGACAGAGGAGAUAACUGAGGUGUGGAGAGGCUAAGAAACUUCCCCAAGUUCACAGAGCUGGAAAGUAGUGGAGCUGUGAGGUCCCCAGGUCCAUGCUCUGUACCACUAGGACCUGGCAGUCUGGGUGUGAUGAGGCGGUGUCAGAAAGCUCAUAGAGCACCCGUAGUGGCGUUGACGUAGGGUAUGAUUUCUGUGUUGCUGCGUAAUAGAUUAUCCCGCACUUAGUGGCUUCAGACAACAGUAGGUAUCAUCUCUCGGUUUCUGUGGGCCAGGAGUCUGGGUGCAGCUUAGCUGGGUCCUUUGGCUCAGGGUCUCUCGCAGGCUGCGCGGUCCGGGGCUUAGCUGGGGCGCUGCUAUCAGCCAGGGUGCCACUCGGGCAGGAUCCACUUCCAGAUAAAAUCAGUGUUGUUGGCAGGAUUCAGUUCCUUGCGGGUUGUUGGACUGGGAGCCUUAGUUCUUUACUCGCUGUUGGCCAGAGGCCACCCUCACUCAUUGCCGCAGGGGCCUCUCCAUGGGACAGCGCCCGUGUCAGCUGGCUUCAUCAAAGUGAGCAAGCGAGAGUGUGAGCGAGGUGGAAGGCACAGUCCUCUGUCCCCUGAUCUCAGAACUGACCCUUAUCAAUCUGCCUUACUCUGUUAUUAGAAGCCAGUCACUGGAUGGCAGCCCCAACUCACUGGGAGUGGCCCACGGAAGGGUGUGAGUACCAGGAGGUGGGAUGACUGGGAGGCAUUGUAGAGGCUGCCUCCCCGGGGGGAGGUAGAAACAGCUCUGUGAGCUGCUGUUCUGAUGAUCCAGUUCCACGCAGCAUGAACAUGCUUUGAAAUCAACACAUUUUAAGAGAUUUUUAUGUCCCUGAUGCCAGUAGGUAAUUUCAGGUUCUAAGGACUUUCGAGCAGGAGGGGAACUUUUUCUGCCAUGCAGCUGCUGCUUUUCCCACGGGUCCACACCUGGCCCGACCUGUGGCUUCUAAACCGUAUCUGAUGGCAAGAGCAUCCGUGGCCUGGAAGUAGCAGCGUGAAUCCUUUCCAGGGCUGUGGCCUCUGCUGAAGUCAUUUGAGGGCUGAAUCAUCAUCAGAUAGCCAGCCCAAUAUCAGCCGUCCUAAACCCUUUCAAACACAUGUGAGCUCGUGGACACUACUCGUCAGCAUCUUCUUGCGAAGGUCUGUGGGUGAAUCUCCGUUUUUGGAGAAGGUCGGCAAGGUUGGAGAAGCCAGGUUCUCUGGGCUUGUGUGCCUGUCUUUCUGAGGAAAGGUGUGUCGCCUGUUUGGUUUUGGUUGUGUAUGAGCUGUUCCACUGCCCUCCCCCUGCCCCCCCGAUGUGGAAUGAUGGGGUCGAAUUGUUGGUGUAGACCAUACCCUUGUGACUGUUUGACUAAAAGAAGCCUUUGUACAGGUGCCAGAAUCAAACCACAGUGGAAAAAGAUGAGGUCCCCAAACAAUGCAACACAACCAGCAGAUCUUUGUGAAUUUACAGCGUAAUCUUGCCAUAAUAUGGGAACGGAGUAACCUUGUGAUGAACUGGGAGAGAGGAAAUGACUCAUGGGAGGAGACGGUGGGUCCAGUAUUUAUAUUGGACGAGACGGCUAAGCUCUCUUGAACCCCUCUGGAGUGGAGGAAGCUGGGGAGGGCCACUACUUUCUACAGCUAUGUUGUUAAGCACCAUUUGGUUGAAGCGGAAAGGGAAAAAACUCGGGUGCUUUCAUGUUCAGACCCCACGGCUCUUUGGCCUGAGUCAUGAGCCAGCAUAGGCACGAUCUGUCCAAGAUGAAGCGUGUGGUCCUAAUGCUUUUAAAAUGCAGGUGCCUCUUCGUGGCGGGGGAUGCUUUUAUGAGUAAGCAUGUCAUUCCGAAAGAUCGUCAGUGACUGGAGGGCAUUCGAGAGUUAUUUGAAGUGGGCAAGUUAUAUCACUAAUUUGGCUUUGGGUAUUUAUUUCGUAUUCAAUGAGGAGUUCACAGGCACGCACUCCAGGCUUCUCGGGGUCUCAAAAUUUAGGCGUGAGCUAGUGAUGGCCGUGCUUGGUUCGCUCGCUUGUCUCUACUGCCUCCAGGCUCACCAUGAUGGGAUCCAUUGAGGAAAGAGUCAUGGGAGAGCCAGCCCUGAUGGCCUAGUGGUUAAGGUUUGGCGUUGUCACUGCU